GAAGAAUUAGGGAAGGACGUCGCACAUAAACAGAAGAAGGGAUGCCCACUUCUUAGUGCACUUAUUGCUAUUCUGCUGAGCAGAAUGAUUUAGAAGUGCCUUCACCCGUUCAUAACCCAUGCCUGAUAUUUAUAGAGCGAGUCUCAGACAGCUGUGUGCUAUGGCAGUCCCGUUCAGAAUCCCCAAAAAGAAGCAGCCGUCAGAUUCAUGUCUUGACAUGCAGUCUCCACUGUCUCGACUGCAGGACAGCAACUCACACAAGGUAAUAAUGCCUUCCUCUGCACUAAUGUCCACAUAAUCAGCCAAUAAAAAUGUGUUGUCCAUUUACAGUCUCAUUUCAGUUUUUUUAUGUAAAGCAACUCUUUUAGUUCAAAUAGUUCUUGUCUCACAGAGGCAGUGGGGUUCAGUAACUCUUAAUGGAAGAACGCCUCAUAAAAGCAGUCCUAAUGGAAAUGUGCUGCCAAAAGACACUCAGAGGAGUGAAACGGUGAGGUAAGACUUCAGUAUACCAUGCUUUGGAUACUGAUCAGUUUUAAAAUGAACAAACAACCGAUAAAAAUCUGCCCUGUUCAGGGGAACAGGACACCCAAUAAGGUGUCCGAGACGCCUGGUUUCAGAGCCCAGUGUCAAACUCCCACCGCAGGGAGAGACUUCACAGGAAACAACAGGUGAGAAUCUGAACCAUGGUAUGGUGGUUUGUGCCUGUGGUCUAGAGCAGGAGAUUUCACUAUGAUCUAGUGGGUUUUAUACCAUAUAUGUUUAUUUGUUUCAGAUGGAGACCCAAAAGAGCAUCGGAUACUCUUCUCUGCCAUGAUGAGAACCAUACGGGCGCGUCUGAAAGCUCUUCUUUCAAGAUCCGUAGAGGCCUGGAUCCGGGAGAACUGGAGACAUGUGGGCUUUUCCAUGAGAAAGAAGAAACAGAAGGGACACAAGGUCACUCUCAGGUGAAAGAGGCACAGAGGUCAUCCACUUCAGAGGACACGGCACACGUUUCACAGGAAGACCGCAAAUUAAAGUCCACAGGUUCUGUUGGUGAUGUCUCUAAGAACACUGCAAGCAAAAACAAGAAUGGAACUGUAUUGAAUGAACAAUCUGUUUCCAAACUGUCCAAUCAUGAGCCCAGUCUCCGCUCAGGACGCUCUCUUCAGGAAGCUCCAGCUAGGCAUCUGAGGACCUCUGGAGAAAGAGCUGCCACCUCUGUGCCUGUUAGAAAAGACCCACUCACUUCACCCCCAGAGGCCAAGAGCAAAGACCCUUUUGGGUCAUUUUACAGCAAUAGAUUGAGGAGGAAGCCCCCGGUUUUCUACAAAACCUACAAGAGAUCCAAGCCUAGCUCCACAGAGCCAAUCGUGCUGUCCAGCGAUGAUGAAGGAGCCGAUGAGAUGAAUGAAGUAUCUGGGAGUUUGCAAGAGCAGCGGAUAUCUGAGGGGGUCGGGAACGCUCAGUCAGGGAACCAAAAGAGCCCAAAGACAAAUGCAGGAGGUGAAAGAUCAGCGACCAAAGUAGAUGUGCCUUCCAUCAUAGAACUGGACUUCAGCAGACUCCAUUACGACACAAUCGAGGCGCAGGCCAACGGGACCAUUGUGGUGAGAGAAACUUAUGCUGAAAAUGUGAUUUAUAGUUGUAUUAAAUUAUAAAAGUG
Long non-coding RNA from Sinocyclocheilus grahami, 1642 nucleotides. Lineage: Eukaryota; Metazoa; Chordata; Actinopteri; Cypriniformes; Cyprinidae. The record is from Ensembl.